RNAcentral lists this ribosomal RNA (253 nucleotides) under uncultured bacterium. RNAcentral's name for it is "partial 16S ribosomal RNA". It matches the Rfam family "Bacterial small subunit ribosomal RNA", at positions 524 to 776 of the family's 1533-position model. The record is from RNAcentral.
UACGGGGGGGGCAAGCGUUGUUCGGAAUUACUGGGCGUAAAGGGCUCGUAGGCGGCCAACUAAGUCGGAUGUGAAAUCCCCAGGCUUAACCUGGGAACUGCGUCUGAUACUGGUUGGCUUGAAUCCGGGAGAGGGAUGUGGAAUUCCAGGUGUAGCGGUGAAAUGCGUAGAUAUCUGGAGGAACACCGGUGGCGAAGGCGGCAUCCUGGACCGGUAUUGACGCUGAGGAGCGAAAGCCAGGGGAGCAAACGGG